UGGGAACCACACCAGACUACUACCGGUGUCCAUGACGAAAGAUAGUGUUUGUGAGGGAGUGCCAAAGCUGAGAGACACAGAGUAACCCCCAUAGCUGUGAGCAAAGAGAGGGGUAUUGACUGAGGAGGUGUUUUUGCGGUGUUUCAGGUGGUGGGCUCUUGUCAAAGAUGCAGAGGUGAGGUGUGAGAGAAGCUGCCAUGGAUCUGAAGAUGGGUUCUUGGUGAACAGUGGUGUUAAAGGGAGAGUAAUGGUGGCGGGGUUCUUAUCUGGAGAUGAAUUUGCCAAGAGGAGCAGAGAGAACAGAGUAAAACCACAGAGGAUGAGGAUG
RNAcentral lists this long non-coding RNA (328 nucleotides) under Vitis vinifera (wine grape). RNAcentral describes it as "long non-coding RNA (VVIN_LNC002600)". Lineage: Eukaryota; Viridiplantae; Streptophyta; Magnoliopsida; Vitales; Vitaceae. The record is from RNAcentral.